AUUGUCCCUAAACUAUCUUUGGCACCUAGAUUUACAUGCGACGACGAAUCGGAUAUUACAUGUAAGGAGAAAAAUGAACUAAAAACAUGAUCUCCAUUUUAGGAUCCUAGUCUAUUCACUCAAGGAUCAGCAUGUCCAACAACUUCAUCAUCGCUUUCGCUCUGUCCACUGAACUCCUCUUCACUAAUCUCAUCAUCACUAUCAUCUUUUGGUGUGCCAACGACAUUCUCCUUCUUUGCGUACCGUUCACAGUACUCUUUCACUUUUUGCUCAUACUGAUUCUUGUCUUUCAUCAUCAGUGAGGCUGCAUCACCAUUUAAUGGAUCCGAAGGAUUCGGAUAUAGCAAAAGCUGUGGCAGAAAAACCUCAAAAACGUUUAAG
RNAcentral lists this unclassified non-coding RNA (381 nucleotides) under Hevea brasiliensis (rubber tree). Lineage: Eukaryota; Viridiplantae; Streptophyta; Magnoliopsida; Malpighiales; Euphorbiaceae. The record is from RNAcentral.